UCUGAUGGGUGAGUGCUCGCUCUUCUGCUGGCCUACUGCCUGCAGCCCUUUCUACUUUAAUCUCCGUGAAUAUGCACAGCAGCGUGAUGAACCUAGGACCUGGGCCCUGGGCCACCUUAUAAGGAAAAGGCUGUGUUUACUCUUUUCUACUUUUUGUUACAUGAAGCUAUUCUGAAAAGUCAUGAAUUACAGCCCAAGAACAAGUUCAGGAGAAGCAUGUAGAUAAAAACCACACCACAAAGGCACCACAACAAAGAAGACUGACUUCACAGCCCAGCAGCUCCUAGACUCUUCUGAUGACACAGCCCCCACAUUGACGUCCAAUGGAGGCUCAGAAUUUUACAAAAUACAAGUCAUUAUUUGUAACUACAGAAUCCUUAUGUUAUAUUUGUGUCCUUGAUAAUUCUUGCCUGGCAUCCUAACAGGAAAGGUACGACCAGAAAGGAAAAAAAAAAAAAAAAAAAAACUUCUGGAAAACUUAAACCACAUAGACUGAGAUGUGAGCAUGCACAGCUGCAUCUCAUGCCUUUGAACUCCCGCCAACGCAACUACAGUCUUAUUCCUACAUCGUCUUGUGUUGACUUUUAGCUCUCGUGCAUGUUUGUCCUGGUUUCGAGGAGUUUUGCUCUACCUGAGAUUUUCAAAUGCUUUUGCUUCCUGGACUCACACAGUCUGCAGUCGAGUUCUGCUCGUGACAGCUGCUAUAGGCUUCACUGCUUGUGCAUCAUGUGAACCGUAUCCACUCUGCAGCUGCUAGAGUAAAAGGGGUUGGUAGAAAUUUGCAGUCUCCCUGCUGCAUACUCCAAGUUCAGAACCAGCUAAAAGAUAAAAGGUUGUAUAGGUGAUGCAGAAGCUGUGAGCUUCAUUGAGCACCAGCCAAAGCUUGUGGGAGGGUGUGGCUUAGAUGGAAUGUCUGAGUUGGCCUCCUCAUACCUCCUUUAGAAUUGGGUAGAUAAAUCAAUGGGUCACUGGUGUAACCAGGCUGGCACACAGAAAAAUACCCUUUUAUAAAAUAAAGGUAUAGAACAGAGUG
Nannospalax galili (Upper Galilee mountains blind mole rat) is the source of this 1033-nucleotide long non-coding RNA. RefSeq lists it as uncharacterized. The record is from RefSeq and is a predicted model, not a curated record. The transcript has 3 exons. NCBI's taxonomy places the organism in Eukaryota, Metazoa, Chordata, Mammalia, Rodentia, Spalacidae.